UUAUAGCCCCGACAGAAGGGAAAAACCUCGUGAGCUGGGGUUCAGCUCGCGAGGUUUAGGAAUGAUGGCGGGAACGAUG
RNAcentral lists this unclassified non-coding RNA (79 nucleotides) under Flavobacterium succinicans. RNAcentral's name for it is "Flavo-1 RNA". The record is from RNAcentral. Lineage: Bacteria; Pseudomonadati; Bacteroidota; Flavobacteriia; Flavobacteriales; Flavobacteriaceae.